RNAcentral lists this long non-coding RNA (12729 nucleotides) under Citrus x clementina. RNAcentral describes it as "Citrus clementina (C. clementina) long non-coding RNA (CCLE_LNC002965)". Lineage: Eukaryota; Viridiplantae; Streptophyta; Magnoliopsida; Sapindales; Rutaceae. The record is from RNAcentral.
UUACUGUUUCUUAUGUUUUACGUUUGAUUCUUUGUUGCAAAGAAACUCACAAACAAAAGAUUUUAGAAAUACCCACUGUACAUGUAUGUAUUGCUCAAAAUUGUUUGACAGAACAUCAAUAGAACUAAUUAGUUUUUAUAUGAGUUGAUGAUGUUCAGAUCUUCCCCAGCUUGGAGAAACUCCUAUUAAGUGGAAAGGAUUUCAGGAUGAUUUUGCAGGGUGAUUACCCACAAAACCUAUUUGGCAGUCUUAAAUACAUUAAGGUUGCGGAUGAUGACUCAGCUUGUUUUCCACUUGGUUUACUUGAGAAAUUUCAAAAUCUGGAAAUCCUCUUUCUGAGUUGUACUUCAUACACAGAGAUAUUAUCAAAUGAAGGACACUCGGAGAAGCACGUGGGCAAGUUCUCACAAGUAAAACAUUUACAGCCGUACAAACUGAAUGAUCUGAAGCACCUAUGGAAACAAGACUCCAAACUGGACUCCAUUCUUGCAAAUCUUGAAAUUCUACGAGUAUAUUGUUGUCAAAAUCUGACUGUUCUAUUGCCAUCAUCAUCGGUAUCGUUUUGGAAUCUAACAGAUCUGCAAGUUUGGGGCUGCAAGAAAUUGAUGAAUUUGGUAACAUCCUCCACAGCAAAGAGUCUAGUGCGCCUCAUGACAAUGAAGGUGUGUGGGAGCAAAGCAAUGACACAAGUGGUGGUAAGUGAGGAAGAUGGAGCAGAAGAUGAAAUUGUUUUCAGCAAAUUGAAGACAUUGUCUCUGCUUGAUUUAGAUAGCCUCACAAGUUUCUACUCUGGCAAUUACACCUUCAAAUUCCCAUCUCUACAAGAUUUAGAAGUGAUUGGUUGUCCCAAGAUGAAGAUUUUCACCACAGGAGAAUUAUGCACACCGCCGAGAGUAAAUGUCUGGUAUGGAGAGGGAGAUGGUGAAUGUCGUUGGGCUAAUGACCUUAACGUUACGAUACAAGAGUUGCAUGCUGAAAAGGUACGGUUAACCCACCAACUUAACUCCCAAGGAAAAAUUUUACAAAUUUGCACUUUUUAACAAAAUUUAGAAAAUAGAUCAUGGACAACCAAGUUUGACUCAUUAGAAUAUUUAUUAUUGAGUAAGUGCAUGAUCGGGUUUGAAAAAGUAUGAGACACUUCUGUAUGUAGUUCUUGAAACUGUCCAAUUUAAAACAGACAUAUUCAAUUCUCAAAAAAUCAUGAAUCAUUAGUUUUAACUUCAUAAUAUAAAAGUCGUGUCAAAUUAAUGAAUGAGAAUUUUGUUUUCAGAUGUUGGAGGGGUCGUCAUCUAACUUGAGGAAGUACGAUUGGUGAUCAUGUUGGCUUUUUAAUUUAUUACUUGGAGUUGUGAAUUUGAAGAAUAAAGUCCCAGGUAAAUAAUUUAAUUUCCCUUAUUUGAUCUCAUAGCUUGUUUCAUCGGUUCACCUGAACUAUUUAGAUUGCGUCACUGGUUUAUUGUUAACUUUAAAAUGAAGUUUUAAUGUUUCAUUCGGGGCUUUAUGAGCAAAUUUUACAUCAUUGAAUGUCCUUUGGUCUGAACUUUUGAGCUUUUUGUUUGAUAGUCAAGGCUUUAUAGUAUGCUAUUUAUAAUUCCUUAAGAAUGUGCAAAAUUUUUUAUGAUAAAAUUGCUUGAAUAUGUCAUUGAAAGGAACUUCUAUGUUGCUCUUUAUGAUUACAGAGUUCUCAAUGUUAUCACUCUUCUUUUGCAGGAUGUGGAAUCAAAGAUACUUUUCUAUGAAAUUUGUGUUCCUUGUAUUAAAAGUUUACAUGCUGAAGGGCUUCCUGUGUUAUCUUUGCUGUUCUACUUGUGCUUUACUUCAUUGUGUCGCUACAGCUUUGUGAGUGUUAUGUUAACUAUUGUUUCCUUCAUUUGGGCAUUGUAAGUUUCGAAGGCGCUACAUUGCUUGACUAAAGAUGCUUAAAUUUAUCAUCUGUUUGUACCCCUUGUAUUAUAUACAAUAAAUUUUUGAUGUAUUUUGACAUUUAAUACGAGAUAUGUUUGAAUUUUCAUUGAAAGGUUUCAUAAUUGUUCAAAUUUAUCUUCAGUUUUAUUUUUGUUAUCUUGUUGGAACCAAAUUGACAACCAAGAUCAAUUUGGAACACCCAAGAUCCACUCUAAGAAACUUGAUCUUAACUAGGUCUGAUACUAGACUGAGUUUAAGAAGAAAUUUGCCUAGGUAAGUGGAAUCAAACACAACUCAAGGAACAAAAGCAGAAAAGAAAGAAAACAGAUCUCACACACAGCACCAAGAUUUAUAGUGGUUCGGCCAUUUUCUUGCCUAUAUCCACUGUGAAAAGAGAAGCAAGCUUUCACUGAUUUCAGAGAUUACAAGUCACAGAGAUGAAGAGUAUGUGUAACAGAAUCGAAACCCCUCAGUAACAGAUCAUAGAGCCUUUUACAUUUCAAUCAAAACCCUCUAAAAGGACCCCAAACAAUCAGCUCACGCUCCUGGGUUUCUCAGCUAAGCAAUCCCAGCUGCAUCUGCAUCCCGCGUGAAUUAACUGAAUUAACAGCUUCUGGAACUGCUCAGGGACACUUGUCAAAUGCUCGUAUAAUUUGCUACUUCAAAAACCGACAUGACAUCACUUCCUUCCCCAAGCAUCAGACACGUCAUACACAUUCCCGAAUCCAGAUUUGAGCUUCCCCUCUUCAGCAUAUCUCAAAUACAUGUUAGGCCUUGCAUGCAUAGACGCACGUAAUAUCCCAGAAGAGUUUUAUCAGAUGAUUUUACUAUCAUCGUUGUUGUUGCUGCUCCCGCCGCCGCCAUUAUUACUAUUAUUAUACUACUACUUGAAAAUUUCAAGUAUUUUAGAUGAGAAAUUUAUUAUGUUAGAGAUAUUCAUAAUAUACAUGAUGCUGAAAUCAGGGAAUUUGUUGUCUCAGUUUGUUUUAUUUUUGUUUGCCUCGAAUCAAAUUUUGAAAUUUAAGAACUAUGGUAAGAGAUGGAACAAGAGGAGUUAAAAAAUUUGCCAAAAUUGAUGUAGCAAUGAAACAAUUGUAUCCUAACAUGUUUAGCAUCAUUCUACUUUAUGAUCAUUGUUGUUCCGUUAUUUUAGUUCUUGCUCUGUUUGUUCUGUUUCUCUGUUUAUUUCACUGGGGGUUUGCUUCACAAAAUCUUACUUUCAAAAUUUAGAAGGCAAGGAAAGAGCGCUUCGAAAAUGCAAGAGGUAUCAAAUCAUGCAUUAAAAAACUUGUUGGCUGCUGGCUGGUCUAUUUCAUUGGCACCGAUCGAAUCAUUAUCCCUAAAAUAAUUAGGAGUCGGAGAUAUAAGUGUGAAAAUAACAGGAUCAUUUACAACAUGGAAAUCAGUCGCCAUUGGUAGGUGGCGCUGCAUAUGAUAAUAACAACUGAUUGAUACCAACAAAGUGUUGGCUCCACUGGUAAUGGAGUCCCCUUAAGUGGCUUGACUGGAUUUGCUCCCCAGUUCGAGUCGCAGGGAAGUCGCCUUUGUUGGGAGAAUCUGUGCCUCCCGGUUCGAGCGGAGACUUCUAGUCUGGGUUGUGGUACGGGCUUAAAGGUGCCUCCCACAGUUGGGGCCCUCCCCAGGAUACCUCGUGAUUAAUAUAAAAAAAAAAAAACAACUGAUUGAUGAAAUUAAUGCCAUCAAUCUGCCUGUUAAUGUUGUUGACGCGUGUCAAAUUUUCAUGCAUAUUAGAAUUUAUUAGUGAGGUUGCAUUAUGGUCCAUAUCGUCAAUAACUUUAGCAGUCAAAUUUUACGCCACUGGAGUCAAAUUUUCAUGCAUAAAGCUGUUGGCUGGUCUGUUUGGCUCUACAAUGAUUUAUCUUUUCGACUUAAAAUGAUUCCAAAAAGCCAUCAGCAAUCUCUAGUGCAACUCUUCAAAAAAAAAAAUUAAAAUAAAAAUAAAAGUCUCAAAAAGUAUCAUUAAUUUAAUUCUAUUGUUUCCGGGUAAUCAGAACGUGUUUGAUAAAUAUUUAUAAGUUACAGUUUGAAAAUUAAAUAGAUUUUAUUUAACAAAAAGAUAUUGUUGACGCGUGUCAAAUUUUCAUGCAUAUUAGAAUUUAUUAGUGAGGUUGCAUUAUGGUCCAUAUCGUCAAUAACUUUAGCAGUCAAAUUUUACGCCACCGGAGUCAAGUGAUUUUUAAGCAGUUUUAUUCAACUGGUUACCUGAGUUCGAAUCUUAAAGAGAUAAAUAGUUAAAAAUGAAUUUAGACUUUGCCUACUCCUUUAAUAAAAAAAGAAGGUCAUUUAGUCUUAACUUUUGAAAUUUUUAUUUGACAUUUCGGCUUUAUAGCAUGCGAUGUAUUUUCUUAAAUUUUAUAAUUCCUUGAGAAUGUGCAAACAUUUUAUGAUAAAAUUACUUAAAAAUGUCGUUGAAACGAACUGAACUUUUUAUGUUGAAAGAAAGCCUUAUUAUUUUUCUGUACUUCUAUGUAAUGCUUUAUGGUUACAAAAUUCUCAUUGUUAUCACUCUUCUUGUGCAAGAUCUGUAAUGAAAGAUACUUUUCUGUCAAAUUUGUGUUCCUGAUAUUAAAAGUUCACAUGCUGGGGGGCUUCCUAUUUCAUCUUUGUCAUUCUACUUGUGCUUUGCUUCAUUGUGUAGCUACAGCAUUAUAAGCGUUACCAUAACUUAUCUGCAGCAAUUUUAUAAUUUACUAUUAUUGUGGUUGUUGCUGCUAUCAUUGUUCUACUAGUUGGAAAAUUCGAAUUCUUUUAGACGUGACAUUUAUCAUAUUAGAUAUUCAAGGUAUACAUACAUGCAUAUAUAUAUAUAUAUAUAUACUGGGUAUCUGUUUAGAUAUGAUGCAGAGAAAUGACAGAAGUUGUAUUAAGUGACGAAGAUUGAGCAGCAAAACAAGAGAUAGUUUUCAGCAAAUUAAAGACGUUGGCUCUGUUUGAUUUAGUUAGACUCACAAGUUUCUGCUCUGGCAAUUGCACUUUCAAAUUCCCAUCCUUGCAAGAUUUAACUGUGAUUGACUGUCCCAAGAUGAAGAAUUUUACUAGAGGAGAAUUAUGGAUGCCAUCUGGUACGGAGAGAGAGAAGAUGAAAGCCGUUGGGCUAAUGACCUUAACACAACCAUACAACAACUACAUGCAGAAACGGUAUGAUUAAUUCACUAUUCUAUCUCCAAUGGAAAAGUUUUACAAAAUUUGCAAUUUUUUAACAAAACGUAGAAAACUGAUCAUUGACAAGUUAGUUUGAUUCAUUAGAAUAUUCGCUAUUACUUUUGUAUUUAAUUCAUCAAACUGUCCUAUUUAAUAUUGACAUUUUCACAAAAGUUAGAUAAUGUUUUUCAAUUCUCACAAAUUCGUUAAUAAUUAGUUUUAAUUUCAUAAUAUGAAAAUCUUGUCAAAGAAAUUGUGUUAUUAAACUUAUUAAAUCUCUCGCUAGUGGCUUCCUUCCUAAUCUCCAUGUGCUUUAGUAUUUAUUUCCAAGUGCCUAAUUUUACGACUUUUAAUUUAGAUUAAUGAAUGACAAUUCUUAUUUUUUCAGCUGUUGGAGGGGCUUUCAUCUUAGUCGACUUUAUACAAGUAAUCUGAUCAAAUACAUUUUAGUACUUGGAUAAGAUGUGGAUUUGAAGACUAAAGAUCGCAGGUAACUAAUUUUAUUACUUAUGUACUUUUCUCAUGGUUUUGUUUCAUCGUUUCAUCUAAACUCUUUGGAAUGCAUUAAUUUUGUUUAUUGUUAAUUUGGAACGAAGUUUUAACGUAUCAUUCAGGGAUUUUGUUUGCAUCAUUGAGGGUUGUUUGGCCUUAACUUCUGAGGUUUUUGACAUUCAGCUUUAUAUUGUGCUAUUUUUUGUAAUUUUAUAACUUCUUGAAAGCAUGCAUAUAUUUUUUUUCUUAUCAUGAUGCCUCGAAAAUGUCAUUAGAAGGGACAGCAGUUUUCUUUUUCUUAUUUAUUUUCAAGUAUCUACGUUUGCGAAUUUUAGUUCAACUUGUUGAAUGGGAAUUUUGUUUUCAGCUACGUACAAGACGAUGCCGCUGCUGCUGCCAUUGUUACUGUCAUAGUUACUAUUACUCGAAAAUUUCAAGUAAUUUAGUUGUGAAAUUCAUUAUGUUAGAGAUAUUCAAAAUAUAUAUGAUGCUGAAAGAAAAGAGUGGACUUGUUGUCUCAGUUUGUCUCAUUUUGUUUUCUCCAACUCUAAUUUUCAAAUUUUAGAAAUAUGGUAAGAGAAGGAACAAAAUGAGUAAAAAAAUUGUCAAAAUAGUUGUAGCUAUGAACAAUUAUAUCCAAACACAUUUAGCAUCAAUCUACUUUGCCAAAUUUUUUAGUCAUCGUCUUUGCUCGGUUGUUUUAGUUUUUGCCCUGUUUGUUCUCUUUAUUUUGAUUGAGUUUGCUUUACAAAGUCUAUCUUUCAAAACUUAGAAGGCGAGGAAAGAGCGGGUAGGAAAUGCAAAAGGUAUCAAAUCAUGCAUAUGGUCAAAUGCUCCUGUAUAUGAACACAUAAAGAACAAUUGAAAUAUCAUUCACCGGAUAACACAAACAAAUAAAAAAAAAAAAAAAAAGAAGAAAGAGAGAAAAUCUAAUCGUCUCAUUAUCCCGAACACAAAUAAUUAAACCAUCAAAUGUUUGCAAUGAGCACAAUCAGAUCAUCUCUUUGGAAUAAUUACAUGUUGGCUUGGCCUAUUUUUUGGCCGGUAAAAAGGUUUUUGGCUGGAGCAUUUGGCCUUAACUUUUUUUUUUUUUUGAGUCUAUAUCAAUUGAUGCCACUAUGUCAAUAAUAAUUGGUAGGAAAUAAAUUAAUAUGUAACUAUAUCUUCUUAAUUAAUUAUUUGUUUUUUUAUCCAUUUACAUUGGAAAAAAGGGGUGCAGGGUCAGGAAGCUUCUUAGACGUGGCACGUUCAAAAGCUUUUUUUUUUUUUUGUCUGAACCACAUGGUCCUGAGUAGGCCCUAACUGUGGGAGAUACCUUUAAGCUCAUACCACAAUCCAAACUAAUCUCCACUCGCACCAGGUCGGCCCGUAAGGGAUAAAGUACUGGCUAAAGUGGUGACUCCAUAUAAGAGCGGGGCUUGAACCUCUGACCUCUCUUAAGAAGUGAGAGUGCCGAACCACUCUGUUCAAAAGCUUUUCUUUUUUAAAAGCUGCGUCAAGCAUGACACGUCAACAUCAUUUACAAGUGGGAACAACUCUUUUUCAUAAAAGAAAAGCCUUUUUUGUUUUAAAAUAAAGUUUUUUUGGAUGAUUCACUAUUACUAAUUGCCCAAGUCAUUCUAUUGCGAAUACAUGCAAAUUAAUAAAGAGACUUGUGGGGUUGCUGGAUAGAAAUUGUUGAAUACAUACAAAUUAUUGAACAGAAAUCCAAUAAUUGAACACCGGCCAAUUCUUGUCCAAUCAAAUUAAAACUCAAUUAAUAUAUUCCACUAAAUUUUUCGUACAACAUCCUAUUCAGAUGAAUAAAAUGUAAAAAAUAAAAUAUAUAAUUCAAAAAAUUAUAAAGGAUGCAAUUUAGCAGGUCAUACAAUAUACCAACAUCAUUUACAAGUGGGAACAACUCUUUUUCAUAAAAGAAAAGCCUUUUUUGUUUUAAAAUAAAGUUUUUUUGGAUGAUUCACUAUUACUAAUUGCCCAAGUCAUUCUAUUGCGAAUACAUGCAAAUUAAUAAAGAGACUUGUGGGGUUGCUGGAUAGAAAUUGUUGAAUACAUACAAAUUAUUGAACAGAAAUCCAAUAAUUGAACACCGGCCAAUUCUUGUCCAAUCAAAUUAAAACUCAAUUAAUAUAUUCCACUAAAUUUUUCGUACAACAUCCUAUUCAGAUGAAUAAAAUGUAAAAAAUAAAAUAUAUAAUUCAAAAAAUUAUAAAGGAUGCAAUUUAGCAGGUCAUACAAUAUACCAAAAAAAGUCUUGGGGGUGCAGUGGGAAUAUUUCUUGACAGAAAGAGUCUUAAAAAUUUUUUCGCCAGAAAACAUUUUCUCUCUCUGAUCUCUGUAUUCUUCAGAUCCUCCUCCUUGCUUGAACGUCUGUAACUUUGUCAUCCAUGAUUUGCAUUCAAUUCUUGACGAAAAAACCUUUUUCCGGAUUUUCAUCUUUUGAUCUCAAACAUGCUUUGCUUCUGUUGAUUGUGGUCGCUUCUAGUGCUAGUUCUCUUCUUAUAUAGCUUUGUUCCCUUUUGCCAUCAGCUCUUUGCAUUUCCUUGGAUGAAGAAACCUUUUUCUUGUUUCAAUUUUCUGAUCUCAAAAGCACUUUGAUUCUAGUCUGCCACACUGAUUUUGUCCUUGUUUUGUACAAACAUAAUUUCGCCAUUAUCUGUUUGAUUAUCAAUUGACCCGUCGUUGACUCUAUUCUAUUUCUAUGUGAAAAAUACGAAAAAAAAAAAAAAGAGAUUGAAGAUGGUGGAAAGCAUUGUUACUGUUGUUUUAGAAGUUGUGAAAUGCUUGGCUCCUCCGACACAACGCCAACUUGAUUACUUGCGAAACUACAAUGAAAACAUUCAGAAACUCGAGGCAGAAACCGAGAGCCUGAAGGUUGAAAUUAGGAGCAUUGAGCGCAGAGUUUUUGGGGCCGAAAAACAAGGAGAAAAGAGUGAAGAGAAAGUCGAGAAGUGGUUGGUUAGCGCCAACAAGAUCAUUGAUGAGGUGAAUGCCAAAUUCAUGGGAGAUGAAGAGACUGCAAAUAAGCGAUGUCUCAAGGGGCUGUGUCCUAAUUUGAAGGCUCGCUAUCAGCUUAGCAAGAAAGCAGAGACACAGGUGAAGGCCCUUGUUGAGUGCCGAGAAGAAGCCGGUCGACUUGAUAGAAUUUCCUACCUUACCUAUCCGGACAAGAUAUGGCUCAAGUCCCACAAAGGUUACGAGGCCUUUGGAUCAAGGCUUUCUACUUUGAAGUGUAUACAAAACGCUUUGACUGAUGUUAAUGUCAGCAUCGUUGGAGUGUACGGCAUGGGCGGCGUUGGAAAGACGACUCUAGCGAAGGAGAUCGUUAGGCAAGCCUUGGCAGACAAGCUCUUUGAUCAAAUAGCCUUUUCAGAGGUUUCCGAAACUGCAGACAUAAAAAAGAUUCAGCGGGAUAUUGCUGAGGACUUGGGUCUCGCAUGGCAUGAGGAAACUGAAUCUAGAACUGCGAGUAGACUGUAUGAACAGUUGAAGAAUGAGAAGAAGAUUCUUGUGGUUCUAGAUAACAUAUGGAAGCAUCUUGAUUUGGAGACUGUUGGAAUUCCUUUUGGUGAUGAUUAUAGAGGUUGUAAACUCUUGCUGAUAGCAAGAGAUCGUAAUGUUUUGUUGGAUAUGGAUUCUAAACAUAACUUCUUUAUUGACAACUUAAAUGAAGAAGAAGCUUGGAGAUUGUUUAAGACGAUGGCGGGUGAUUAUGUUGAAAAUCGUCAGCUGAAAUCUACAGCAACAGAUGUAGCCAAGGGAUGUGGAGGCUUGCCUAUUGCCUUAGCUACAACAGCAAGGGCAAUGAGAGACAAGACUGUGCAUGAAUGGAAGAAUGCCUUGCGAGAACUUCAGACGCCUUCAGUGAUGAACUUCGAAGGACUGCCGGCAGAUACUUAUGCAAGAAUCGAGCUGAGUUUCAAGUAUUUAAAAGGUGAGCAGCUCAAGAAAAUUUUUCUGCUUUGUAGUCUAAUGGGUAAUCCUAUUUUUACUUCAGACCUGUUUAAAUACUCCAUGGGUUUGGGUAUACUCCAAGGAGUCAAGAAGAUGGAAGAUGCACGAAACCAAUUAUAUGCAUUGGCCUAUAAACUUAAAGACUCUUGUUUGUUGCUUGAGGGAGGUAGCAGCGAACAAUUUUCAAUGCAUGACGUCGUUCGCGAUGUUGGCAUAUCAAUUGCUUACCGGGACCAACAUGUAUUUUUGGCAAAAAAUGAGGAUGUGUUGGAGCUGCCGGACAAGGAAGCACUUGUAAAUUGCUAUGCGAUUUCUAUAAGUGGUUGCCGUAUUCAGGAGCUUCCUCAAGGAUUGGAAUGCUUGCAACUCGAACUUUUAUAUAUAUCUCCCAAAGACUCUUACCUUCAAAUCAAUAUUCCUGAGAACAUUUUUGCAGGGAUGCGGAAGCUUAGAGUUGUAGAUUUUACUGGGAUGCAAUUAUGUUGCUUGCCAUCUUCAAUUGAUCUCUUAGUAAAUCUUCAAACACUAUGUUUGGAUCAAUGCAUGUUGAGUGACAUAGCAAUUAUUGGAAGGUUGAAGAAUCUGGAAAUCCUUAGCUUUUUAAAUUCAGAUAUUGUGCAGUUGCCUGAAGAACUAGGUGAAUUGACUAAGCUAAGGUUGUUAGAUUUAUCCAAUUGUUUCCAGCUAAAAGCUAUUGCACCCAAUGUCCUAUCAAGCUUAACUCGAUUGGAAGAACUCUACAUGAAAAAUUGCGUUAUCGAAUGGGAUGUUCAAAGACCCAAUGGUGGAAGAAGUACUGCCAGCCUUGGUGAGUUGUUGCAAUUGCCUCGACUGACCACUCUAGAAAUAGAUGUCAAAAAUGAUAGUAUUUUACCAGAAGGCUUUUUUGCAAAAAAAUUAGAAAGGUUCAAAAUAUCAAUAGGAGAUGAGUCAUUCAAGCCUCCGGUGCGUGCGGAUGAAUGGUUCGGUAGUCGGCCGGUUUUGAUCAGUGAUCCUUCGAGUCUAAGAACCAUAAAGCUGAAGCUUAGCUCAAAGCCUAUUUGCUCGAAGAAAAUGCAGGGCAUCCAGAAUGUUGAAUACUUGUGUUUGGACAAGCUGCAAGGUGUCAAGAAUGUUCUUUUAGAUAUGGACAUUGAGGGAUUUCUACAGUUGAAGCAUCUCCAUGUUCAAAAUAAUCCUGACUUCGUGUGCGUUGUUGACUCAACGGAGGGGGUACGUCGUGAUGUGUUUCCUCUUUUGGAGUCACUUACUCUUUACAAUUUGAUUAACAUGGAGAGGGUAUGUAUUGAUCGACUCAAAGUAGAGUCUUUCUGUGAACUUAAAACCAUACAGGUGGGAAAAUGUGAUGAGUUGAGUAAUAUCUUCUUGCUGUCUUCUAUAAGCUGCCUUCCCACACUUGAGAGGAUUGCAGUUUUUGAUUGCGAUAAGAUUGAAGAGGUCUUUGCAAUUGGUGGAGAACCAGAUGUCGACAACAAUAAUGCAGUGGAGAAGAUAGAGUUUGCAGCAGUAAAAUUUUUACAUCUGCAAAAUCUUCCGAAGCUUGCAAGUUUUUGCUCUGAAGUAAAGAGACCAAAUACACAAGGGUCGCAAGAGGAAUUGACAGCUACUACUUGCUCGACCGAAAUCAGUUUGUUGGAGGAGGACAAGCUUGAUACUUCGACACCGCUUUUCAACGAGAAGGUAAGCUGUUAUAAUGAAACCAAAGCAUUCGUUUUUCUUUCUCAACUUAUUCUAUCGUGCAUUUUCGUUUGAUGACAACUAUAGAAAAUGAAUUAUAAGGGAAAAAGAAAAUGAGAAUUGGAAAUUAGAAUCUCACACACUCACUCACUAAGCUCGCUUUACAUAUUAAUGAUGUGAAUUAAAUUGCAUAUUAAGUGUAUGUUUAGUAUGGUAAUAAUUCUCAAAAAAUCAUUUUUAGCACGGAUUUCUAAAAACUAUAUUUGAAAAAAGUUUAACACAAUGUUUUGUAAAUGGGUGAGCUAUUUGCACCUUAAAAAUUACUCUAAACACUCUAAUUGAAAUAAAAAUUUAUAACAAAAAUAUCUAUCAUAUGAAUUAUAUAAAGGACAAUUUAUUAUAAGUCAAUAUUACAUAAUUACUAUGAACGCCCCAUAUAACACACUCAUUAUUUAAUAUAUAUAAUUUUCAUGUUUUAAACCUUAAAACUUUUUUAUUUACAUCUUCAUCAAUACUUAGAUGAAUAAUGAUAAAAUCAAUAUUUUUCUUUUAUUUUUCCAUAAAUAAUCAAUAUCAAACGCGCACUGAAGCUGUCACUUGGAAGAUGAUUUGAUCUAACAAGAAAUUAAUGUUUAGGUUGUGUUCCCCAACUUGGAAGAUUUGGAGUUGAUUGGAAUUAAUGUCGAAAAGAUUUGGCACAAUCAACUUCCAGCCAUGUUUCCUCGCUUUCAAAGUUUAACAAAAUUAAUCGUGGGGAAGUGUCACAAAUUAAAAUGUAUAUUUUCGGCUUCUAUGCUCAGAAGCUUUGAGCACCUCCGACACCUGGAUAUAUGCAACUGUAUGGGUUUGCUUGAGAUUAUUUCCGAAGGAGCAGAUCAAGUGCCACCUUGUUUUAUCUUUCCGCGGCUGACAUUUCUAAGACUAGGUGAACUACCAGAACUUAGAUGUUUAUAUCCUGGAAUGCAUACUUCGGAAUGGCCGGCACUAAACUCGUUGAUGGUCUUUGGUUGUGACAAAAUAAAGUUAUUUGCUUCUGAGUUAUCUAGCUUCCAUGGAAACAUUGAUGAGAAUCAACUUCCUAUCCCAGCACAACAGCCUCUGUUCUUGAUCGAAAAGGUACAUAUGAAACCAUUUAUUUGAUCUUUUAUCGGUUGCAUCUUACUGUUUCUUAUGUUUUAUGUUUGGUUCUUCGAUGCAAAGAAACUCACAAACAAUAGAUUUUAGAAAUACCCGCUGUACAUGUAUGUGUUACUCAAAAUUGUUUGACAGAACAUCAAUUGAACUAAUUAGUUUUUAUGUGAGUUGAUGAUGUUCAGAUCCUCCCCAACUUGGAGAAUCUGCUAUUAAGUGGAAAGGAUUUCAGGAUGAUUUUGCAGGAAGAUUACCCACAACACCUCUUUGGCAGUCUUAAAUACAUUGAGGUUGUGGAAGAUGACUCAGCUUGUUUUCCGCUUGGUUUACUUGAGAAGUUUCGCAAUCUGGAAAUCCUCUAUCUGAGUGGUACUUCAUACACAGAGAUAUUAUCAAAUGAAGGACACUCGG